RNAcentral lists this transfer RNA (67 nucleotides) under Deronectes angusi. Its description in RNAcentral is "tRNA-Trp". Lineage: Eukaryota; Metazoa; Arthropoda; Insecta; Coleoptera; Dytiscidae. The record is from RNAcentral.
AAGGAUUUAAGUUAAAAAAACUCACAACUUUCAAAGUUGUAAAUAAAGGAAAGAGCUUUAAGCCUUA